This 125-nucleotide small RNA is filed under the name Yersinia frederiksenii. Its description in RNAcentral is "RtT sRNA". It matches the Rfam family "RtT RNA". From Rfam's summary of the family: This family represents a bacterial cis-regulatory element known as RtT RNA. The exact function of RtT is unknown although it is thought that it may be involved in changing the cellular response in relation to amino acid starvation. RNAcentral also lists the same sequence under 2 other names. Lineage: Bacteria; Pseudomonadati; Pseudomonadota; Gammaproteobacteria; Enterobacterales; Yersiniaceae. The record is from RNAcentral.
AGACUACCCGAUGCGUGUGGGUGAGACCCUGCGUUCAGGUUCGAGCCGAGGAUGCGAGACAGCAACGCGCGAGCGUUGACCCGAAGGGCGAGUCCGCAGGACGAGUCAUCCCGCACGACCUAUUA